GAUGAGGUUACCUGGUCUGGCUUCUGGUCAGUACUGGGUCAACUGAGUCUUUUUCUUGGGGAGUAACGGGUGCUCUUCAUUGAGUGCUCUUAGGAACCAAGACGAUUACUUUGAAAAAAUUAGAGUGUUUAAAGCAAGCUAUUGCUUGAAUACAUUAGCAUGGAAUAAUAAAAUAGGACGAUGGUUCUAUUUUGUUUGUUUGAGGACCACUGUC
This 214-nucleotide ribosomal RNA is filed under the name uncultured fungus. RNAcentral's name for it is "partial small subunit ribosomal RNA". The stretch from base 88 to 214 matches the Rfam family "Eukaryotic small subunit ribosomal RNA", at positions 734 to 863 of the family's 1831-position model. Lineage: Eukaryota; Fungi. The record is from RNAcentral.